Molecule: ribosomal RNA, 1394 nt
Filed under: Chaetothyriales sp. MCRE12
Lineage: Eukaryota; Fungi; Ascomycota; Eurotiomycetes; Chaetothyriales
Description: eukaryotic LSU rRNA
Rfam family: Eukaryotic large subunit ribosomal RNA
Source: RNAcentral
UUGACCUCGGAUCAGGUAGGGAUACCCGCUGAACUUAAGCAUAUCAAUAAGCGGAGGAAAAGAAACCAACAGGGAUUGCCUCAGUAACGGCGAGUGAAGCGGCAACAGCUCAAAUUUGAAAUCUGGCCUCUUUGGGGUCCGAGUUGUAAUUUGUAGAGGAUGUUUCGGGUACCGCCUCGGUUUAAAUUUCUUGGAACAGAAUGUCAAAGAGGGUGAGAGUCCCGUCUUGGACCGGCGGUAGGGCCCGUGUGAAACUCCUUCGACGAGUCGAGUUGUUUGGGAAUGCAGCUCAAAAUGGGUGGUAAAUUUCAUCUAAAGCUAAAUAUUGGCCAGAGACCGAUAGCGCACAAGUAGAGUGAUCGAAAGAUGAAAAGCACUUUGAAAAGAGAGUUAAACAGUAUGUGAAAUUGUUGAAAGGGAAGCGCUUACAACCAGACUUGAGCGCGGCGGUUCCCCCUUCCUUUUGGUUGGGUUACUCCGUCGUGUCCAGGCCAACAUCGGUUCUGGGGGUCGGUUAAAGACCUUGGGAAUGUACCUACCCUUCGGGCGUAGACUUAUAGCCCAGGGUGUCAUGCGGCCUCCCGGGACCGAGGAACGCGCUUCGGCUCGGAUGUUGGCGUAAUGGUUGUCAGCGACCCGUCUUGAAACACGGACCAAGGAGUCUAACAUCUAUGCGAGUGUUUGGGUGUCAAACCCGGAACGCGGAAUGAAAGUGAACGGAGGUGGGAAGCCUUGCGGCUGCACCAUCGACCGAUCCUGAUGUCUUCGGAUGGAUUUGAGUAAGAGCAUAGCUGUUGGGACCCGAAAGAUGGUGAACUAUGCCUGAAUAGGGUGAAGCCAGAGGAAACUCUGGUGGAGGCUCGCAGCGGUUCUGACGUGCAAAUCGAUCGUCAAAUUUGGGUAUAGGGGCGAAAGACUAAUCGAACCAUCUGGUAGCUGGUUCCUGCCGAAGUUUCCCUCAGGAUAGCAGUAACGUUUUCAGUUUUAUGAGGUAAAGCGAAUGAUUAGAGGCCUUGGGGUUGAAACAGCCUUAACCUAUUCUCAAACUUUAAAUAUGUAAGAAGUCCUUGUUGCUUAAUUGAACGUGGACAUUUGAAUGUACCGUUACUAGUGGGCCAUUUUUGGUAAGCAGAACUGGCGAUGCGGGAUGAACCGAACGUGAGGUUAAGGUGCCGGAAUGUACGCUCAUCAGACACCACAAAAGGUGUCAAUGCAUCCAGACAGCCGGACGGUGGCCAUGGAAGUCGGAAUCCGCUUAGGAGUGUGUAACAACUCACCGGCCGAAUGCAUUGGCCCUGAAAAUGGAUGGCGCUUAAGCGUGCUACCUAUACCUCGCCGUCAGGGUUGACAUGAUGCCCUGACGAGUAGGCAGGCGUGGAGGUCCGUGACGAAGC